UACGUAGGGUGCAAGCGUUGUCCGGAAUUAUUGGGCGUAAAGAGCUCGUAGGCGGUUUGUCGCGUCUGCUGUGAAAACUCGGGGCUUAACCCCGGGCCUGCAGUGGGUACGGGCAGACUAGAGUGCGGUAGGGGAGACUGGAAUUCCUGGUGUAGCGGUGAAAUGCGCAGAUAUCGGGAAGAACACCUAUGGCGAAGGCAGCUCUCUGGGACGGUACUGACGCUGAGACGCGAAAGCGUGGGGAGCAAACAGG
This 253-nucleotide ribosomal RNA is filed under the name uncultured bacterium. RNAcentral's name for it is "partial 16S ribosomal RNA". It matches the Rfam family "Bacterial small subunit ribosomal RNA", at positions 524 to 776 of the family's 1533-position model. The record is from RNAcentral.